CACUUCUAAGGAAGGCAGCAGGCGCGCAAAUUACCCAAUCCUGACUCAGGGAGGUAGUGACAAGAAAUAACAAUAAACCGGCUUAUGCCGGUUUAAUUGGAAUGAGUACAAUUUAAACAUCUUAACGAGGAACAAUUGGAGGGCAAGUCUGGUGCCAGCAGCCGCGGUAAUUCCAGCUCCAAUAGCGUAUACUAAAGUUGUUGCAGUUAAGAAGCUCGUAGUUGGAUUUCUGUGGGGACGGAGCGGCCGGCCGCAACUCGCGGUUCGAGCUAGCGCUUUCCCUACAUCCUGCCGCGAACCGUGCUACCAUUAGUUUGGUGGCGCCGGGGAUCGGCUCGAUUACUUUGAGAAAAAUAGAGUGUUCAAAGCAGGCCACACGCCUUGAAUAAGUUAGCAUGGAAUAAUAACUAAGGACUUCGGUUCUAUUUUGUUGGUGUUCGGGACUGAAGUAAUGAUUGAUAGGGACAGUUGGGGCGGUCUGUAUUCCAAAGCGAGAGGUGAAAUUCUUAGACCUUCGGAAGACAAACAGCUGCGAAAGCGUUCCGCAAGGAUGUUCCCUUUGAUCAAGAACGAAAGUUGGGGGAUCGAAGACGAUCAGAUACCGUCGUAGUCUCAACUAUAAACUAUACCAGCUAGGGAUCGGCCAACGUUAUUUAAACCGACUUGGUCGGCACCUUAUGAGAAAUCAAAGCAUCUGGGUUCCGGGGGGAGUAUGGUCGCAAGGCUGAAACUUAAAGGAAUUGACGGAAGGGCACCACCAGCCGUGGAGCCUGUGGCUUAAUUUGACUCAACACGGGAAAACUUACCAGGUCCAGACAUAGUAAGGAUUGACAGAUUGAUAGCUCUUUCUUGAUUCUGUGGGUGGUGGUGCAUGGCCGUUCUUAGUUGGUGGAGUGAUUUGUCUGGUUAAUUCCGUUAACGAACGAGACCCCAGCCUGCUAAAUAGCGCGCGUGAGCUUUGCUCGCGGCGAGCUUCUUAGAGGGACUCUGAUGCGCGAUAGCACAUGGAAGUUUGGGGCAAUAACAGGUCUGUGAUGCCCUUAGAUGUUCUGGGCCGCACACGGGCUACACUGGCGCCUGCAACGAGCAUAUCAGCUGGCCCGAGAGGGUCUUGGCUAAUCUUUUGAACCGGCGCCGUGCUUGGGAUUGACCUUUGCAAUUGUUGGUCAUGCAACGAGGAAUGCCUUGUAAACGCGAGUCAUCAGCUCGCAUUGAAUACGUCCCUGCCCUUUGUACACACCGCCCGUCGCUCCUACCGAUGAAUGUUCCGAUGAAAUUUUCGGAGAGCACCUGUGAACUUGGCUCUGCCUUGCGAACGGGAAGCUCAAAGUCACUUAAAUCUGAACAUUUCGAGG
This 1355-nucleotide ribosomal RNA is filed under the name uncultured marine eukaryote. RNAcentral describes it as "SSU rRNA". It matches the Rfam family "Eukaryotic small subunit ribosomal RNA", at positions 411 to 1779 of the family's 1831-position model. The record is from RNAcentral.